Molecule: long non-coding RNA, 607 nt
Filed under: Capsella rubella
Lineage: Eukaryota; Viridiplantae; Streptophyta; Magnoliopsida; Brassicales; Brassicaceae
Description: long non-coding RNA (CRUB_LNC002329)
Source: RNAcentral
CCAACGGUCAAAAUUCAAAAUCCGGCGAAGAAAUUGAGAAACGAAGUUUUGAAAUAGAGAAGUUAAAAUCGUCGAGCCACCGAUCUCAGCGAAGGGGAACGAAGAAGCGAUGUUGGAGAAAGAUCUCAGUGGAGAGAAGACGAUGUUGGAGAAAGAGAAGAACGGAGAAAAGGACGAGAUCGUGUUCGCCGGAGAUGCUGGGUUGGUGAAGGACUCCUUCAGAAGGAGCCGAAUUCUAAACAAUACUCGUGAGGAUUCUUUUUUAUAGAUUUUUGGAGGCUUUUUUAAGUUCCUGUCGCUAAGGUAAUUGAAUUUUUUUUUUUUUUUGGGUAAGCGAUGUUUGGUAUUUGUAUACUACUGAGAAUUGAGUUUUAGGGUUAAUUCACGUACGGGGGAGUGAAGCCAAAGAUCAUUUCGCGCAGACCUAUUACAGCCCGGCCGAGUAAAAUCGAAGAUUUAUAACUCGAGGAAUUUAUGUGCAAAUAUCUCGGAAUUUAUGACUAUGAGAGAAGAUGUAAAUGCUCCCAAUCACAAUAAUUUUUUUCUUGUAUAAUAAUUUAAACAUAAAUAUUUUUCUUAUAAUCCUAAAAAGUAUUUAGAGUUCAAA